RNAcentral lists this ribosomal RNA (427 nucleotides) under uncultured Acidobacteriota bacterium. RNAcentral describes it as "bacterial SSU rRNA". It matches the Rfam family "Bacterial small subunit ribosomal RNA", at positions 958 to 1385 of the family's 1533-position model. The record is from RNAcentral. Lineage: Bacteria; Pseudomonadati; Acidobacteriota.
AACGCGAAGAACCUUACCUGGGCUUGAACCGCUACUGACCAAGGGUAGAAAUAUCCUCUUCCCGCAAGGGACAGUAGUAGAGGUGCUGCAUGGCUGUCGUCAGCUCGUGCCGUGAGGUGUUGGGUUAAGUCCCGCAACGAGCGCAACCCUUACUCGUAGUUGCUACCCGCAAGGGAGAACUCUACGAGGACUGCUCCGGAUAACGGAGAGGAAGGUGGGGAUGACGUCAAGUCAGCACGGCCUUUAUGUCCAGGGCUACACACGUGUUACAAUGCACGGUACAGACUGUUGCGAACCCGCGAGGGGGAGCUAAUCGGAUAAAACCGUGCUCAGUUCGGAUUGCAGUCUGCAACUCGGCUGCAUGAAGCUGGAAUCGCUAGUAAUGGCGUAUCAGAUCGACGCCGUGAAUACGUUCCCGGGCCUUGUA